Molecule: ribosomal RNA, 254 nt
Filed under: uncultured bacterium
Lineage: Bacteria
Description: partial 16S ribosomal RNA
Rfam family: Bacterial small subunit ribosomal RNA
Source: RNAcentral
GACGAACUGUCCUAACGUUGUUCGGAAUCACUGGGCUUAAAGGGCGCGUAGGCGGUCAGCACAAGUCAGUUGUGAAAUCUCCGGGCUUAACUCGGAAAGGUCAACUGAUACUGUGCGACUAGAGUGCAGAAGGGGCAACUGGAAUUCUCGGUGUAGCGGUGAAAUGCGUAGAUAUCGAGAGGAACACCAGCGGCGAAGGCGGCAUCCUGGACUGGUCCUGACACUCAGGAGCGAAAGCGUGGGGAGCGAUCCGG